UUCUAAACCAGAUUUUAAAAA
Molecule: non-coding RNA, 21 nt
Filed under: Caenorhabditis elegans
Lineage: Eukaryota; Metazoa; Nematoda; Chromadorea; Rhabditida; Rhabditidae
Source: RNAcentral